CACGUAGGGUGCGAGCGUUGUCCGGAAUUAUUGGGCGUAAAGAGCUCGUAGGCGGUUUGUCGCGUCGAAUGUGAAACCCGGGGCUCAACCCCGGGCCUGCAUUCGAUACGGGCAGACUAGAGUUCGGUAGGGGAGUCUGGAAUUCCUGGUGUAGCGGUGAAAUGCGCAGAUAUCAGGAGGAACACCGGUGGCGAAGGCGGGACUCUGGGCCGGAAUGACUGACGCUGGAGGAGCGAAAGCGUGGGGAGCAAACAGG
RNAcentral lists this ribosomal RNA (256 nucleotides) under uncultured bacterium. Its description in RNAcentral is "partial 16S ribosomal RNA". It matches the Rfam family "Bacterial small subunit ribosomal RNA", at positions 524 to 776 of the family's 1533-position model. The record is from RNAcentral.